CGAGGGUCUUCGGACCCUAGCGGCGGACGGGUGAGUAACACGUAGGCAACCUGCCUGUAAGACUGGGAUAACAUAGGGAAACUUAUGCUAAUACCGGAUAGAGUUUUGCUUCGCAUGAAGCGAAACGGAAAGAUGGCGCAAGCUAUCACUUGCAGAUGGGCCUGCGGCGCAUUAGCUAGUUGGUGAGGUAAAGGCUCACCAAGGCGACGAUGCGUAGCCGACCUGAGAGGGUGACCGGCCACACUGGGACUGAGACACGGCCCAGACUCCUACGGGAGGCAGCAGUAGGGAAUUUUCCACAAUGGACGAAAGUCUGAUGGAGCAACGCCGCGUGAACGAUGAAGGCUUUCGGGUCGUAAAGUUCUGUUGUUAGGGAAGAAACAGUGCCAUUUAAAUAAGGUGGCACCUUGACGGUACCUAACGAGAAAGCCACGGCUAACUACGUGCCAGCAGCCGCGGUAAUACGUAGGUGGCAAGCGUUGUCCGGAAUUAUUGGGCGUAAAGCGCGCGCAGGUGGCUAUGUAAGUCUGAUGUUAAAGCCCGGGGCUCAACCUCGGUUCGCAUUGGAAACUGCGUAGCUUGAGUGCAGGAGAGGAAAGUGGUAUUCCACGUGUAGCGGUGAAAUGCGUAGAGAUGUGGAGGAACACCAGUGGCGAAGGCGACUUUCUGGCCUGUAACUGACACUGA
Molecule: ribosomal RNA, 687 nt
Filed under: Brevibacillus laterosporus
Lineage: Bacteria; Bacillati; Bacillota; Bacilli; Caryophanales; Paenibacillaceae
Description: bacterial SSU rRNA
Rfam family: Bacterial small subunit ribosomal RNA
Source: RNAcentral